Molecule: transfer-messenger RNA, 404 nt
Filed under: Anaerolineae
Lineage: Bacteria; Bacillati; Chloroflexota
Also listed under: 1 other name
Description: JACIWR01 sp014360845 Standard tmRNA
Rfam family: transfer-messenger RNA
About the family: Bacterial tmRNA, also known as 10Sa RNA or SsrA, is named for its dual tRNA and mRNA-like properties.
Source: RNAcentral
GGGGAUGACAGGCUUCGACGGGGAAGGCUGGUCACGGAUUGCAGGCCGAGGUGCCCUAACCUCGUUAAACCAGGGCAAGGCCAAUAAGUGCCAACACACGACGACCGGCGCUCGCCCUGGCUGCGUAGUCAGUCAGAAACGCGCCACCUGGUCGCUUGCGAGCGACCACGCUCUCCCUAACCUCCCCCCGACGGGUUAGGUUUGAGCGCCAGAGUAGCCGGGGUGCGAUUCUCCCGAAGUCGGUGAGGAGAAUCUAAGAGGGAGCGAGAGCUCCCACCGACUGGCCCGCUGCGGGCUUUGUCGGCUGAGCUACCAGCGGGCGAGAACUCAUCAACCGACUAAGCCUGUAGUAUAUCCGUGAUCGAAUUCUUCGGACGCGGGUUCGAUUCCCGCCAUCUCCACCA